UAUUCCAGCUCGUUAUUCAAUACAAACGGCCAGACUGUUUACUGAAGGCUGGUGUGUCAGUUGUUGAGGGAAGAAGAGAGGGAGCAGGGCCCACCCCCAAAGCCCAGCUCCCAGCCCCGUGGACGUGGACGGCUCUUGGGGGCUCCAGCCUCCUCGGAGCACACGGAGACAGCCAAAGGUCCACCUCGGAAGGGAGUCUGUACAAGGCCAGUUUGCAGCCUGACAACCAGAAGGGGACACUGAGAGAGAAAGAACCAGACUUGGCUUCUGACCAGCCAGCCUCAUAGCAAAGAAGUGGAAGGCCCUGGCUGGGAACUCAACGUUCGGCAAAUGAUAUCCGCCUUCCCUGUUUAUGGGGUGGCUGGUCUAUGUGGAGACCACACGAGAUGCGGUGUGCCAAAUCUCCAGAGGCACUGCAGAUGAACCCUGCAGGUUAAAAAGGGUCUGGCAGGGGUUUCCAUGUCUCUGCUGCCCCUCAAGCCACCUGAGCCACUCCACCAUCACCACAGUCCUCACCUGGAGUUCUCUCGGAGUUCUAUCAGCCAGCACUCCUUGCAGGAAAGGCUCCCAGGGACAAGACGGGGCUCCUUCUAGACCGUUUGAUUAAUUACACUGCUUGUUUGUUGACGCUGACCAGAAUUUUCAAUCUUCUGAUGCUACGCUCAGAACGUCGUAUUUUUCUAUGCGUUUAUCACUUGCUCCCAUGAAACUUUCUCUCUGCCCCAGUCGGUCUCUCAUAAUUUAUUUUAGGUCCUAAUUUUGUUGUUUUGCUCACCUACCCUAGACUUCUUUUUCCUCUUAUGCAGAGCAAUAUGCAAGUCUCACCGGGUAUUUAUUAUUACUUUGAAGAGAUACCUUGUUAAUACACAGUCCCACACACAUACACAUCACUCAAUCAAAACGAUGAUAUAAGUGAAAAUCCAAACAUGCUGUUUAAUCAUUUAGAGAGGCUGAUAAUGAUUUUCAAUCAACUAGGAUUGCUCUGCAGUUCAAAGAAUUAUUAAUGAGAGCCAAAUUUGUUAAUAGAUUGUGAACAGCCCUUUUUGGUGAGUGGGGGAAGAUACAAGGAAGGUCAUUUUAGAAGUUGCUAUCCAGCCUUUAUGUCAUACACUCAUGAAGCCCAUCCUCUCCGUCUGAGCUCACCAGAACCCAAUUGCUAAAAUCUCCAUCCUAUGAUCGAUCCAUGAAGGUACCUUGCCCAAGCUCGGUCACUGGAAGCUCUAAAUGGAGACUCACAAAAGGGUUUUGUUGGGAUUUUUUCCCUAAAAUAGCCCAAUUCGGAACUGAGAAAUGAGCAGAUCUUUUGCAACAUGUAUAACAGCCAUAAUGCUCACCUCCCCCUCCAGUCUUCCUUGACAGUCAUUGUCUCUUCUUGUUCCCUCCCCGCACCAAUGUCCUGCAUCUUCUCUGGCCCCAAGAUGACCAGAGAGACCCUGUUUGGGGACUCAAGCUCUGUACCCUCACUCGUGGCCCAAGAGCUUCUCCCCAGACCCCAGCCACCUCCUAUGAUCUUCCUUUCCUCUUGGCCAAAUACUUGAGGUCUUGGCCAGCUUGGGGUUUCUUUUUAACCCUGCUACAAUCUAUUCUCUAGAGUUUUCUCUUUUCAGGCCAAGGCACACAGCGCCUCACUUCUUUCCUCCUCCUAAUGAUAAUCCCAUAGCUAUUUUUGUUUUGUGAGUUUUACUGGGAAUCACCAAGGAGAAAAAGAAAAACACAAGAACCCACAUGGAAGAAAUGUGACUGCAUCAGAACUCUUACAAAAUUGCUUCCUUCAACAAUAACCUUUAUGGAUUCACCCCCCUACCGGUUGAGCACUGUGUUCUAGAAUCUAAUAGUUAUUGUUUCUGGGCAAUGCUUCUGGGAUGAUCUUGGAAGCCCCACUGGCCACCUACUUCCCUUGGCAAGUAGUUCACUAACCUCUUAACAAGGAGGGCAAAAUGAAAAGCGAGCAGUGCUCUCUCCUCUCCUUUUCCUUUUCUAUAGCUCUUCAGAUGGACAGUAUUUGUGUCAUUGGUCUCCUACCCUUUAAAGGUUAAGAUCAUAACAUAACAGAGGUUAUAUUAAAACACACACACGAUAACUCUAAUAGUAGUAGAAUUAUUUGACAUUGAGGCUAUUUUGAAAACUUCAGAAUAUCUCAUCCUUUUCUUAUACUCGCCCCACCUGAGCCCCUCCUACUGUUGUGUUUUAACUAAUGAGACCUUUCUGAAGGCUUCUAAUAAGUUAGCAUCUACCUAGGGACGUACUCAUAAACUGGCUCUCUGAAAAGGACGAAUAUACAAAAAGCCUUGAUUCACAAUGUUUGACCAUUUCCGUGAUGUAAAGACUACCACUGUGGUCAAUUUCAAGCUACCAAUGACUUAAAACCAGCUGGUAAGAACUCUUUCAAGCCAGGUGGAACCAGUUCUAGCACACCACUUACACUUCCAGUUGUUUCUCUUAUCAAAGCUUGCUUUGUGCUUCAUCUCCAAAAGUCUGUCUUGGAACUGCCUUUCCUUUGCCAAAGCAAUAUAAUAAGUACAUCCCAAGCAGAAUGUGAUUGGCUGAAUGAAAAAUCUCCAUGUUUUUCCCCUGUCAGGGUCAUAGGACAUGUCCUGGAAUGCUCCUAGAAGAGGCCCUCAACCCAACAGGUGAAACUCAGCAAUGGUGGGACCUCAAGGCGAAUGAUGCACCCCUCAGUGGCAGUGCAGGGAGGGACAGAGGAAUGCCAGUAUGGGCACAAGAUCCCUGAGUCCAGAAAGUGCUCUUCGUGGUCAGGGCAGGAGCCACCCCUUUCCUGCUCUCCAGCAGCCCUCACUGGCUCUUCUGACUGUGACCCCUCCACUGCGCCCUAUUUGUCGCCCCCAAGAUGGUCCUUUCUGGAUGGGAGCUGUUUGAACUUCCAAGUCCAGUGAGCAAGGCCUGCAGCAAGAAAUUUAAAUACGAUAGCAAAGUUUAUACCCUAAACGGCUCUCUUGUGGUUCCCUUAGCAACAGCUCUUACUUUUUAGGGCUCACCUUGGCUACAUGCUGUGUUAGCAAUGGUUCAUUAGACUGAUUUCCAAAACAGCUCAUGUCCCACUCAGAACCAGUUUAUGGGAAGUCUGCUUGUCCCUCUCCCUCAAUCCUCCCCCACCCCCCACUUGUGCUCCCUCUCCCUCUCUCUCAAAUAAAUAAAUCAAAUCUUUUUCUGAAAAUGUCAAAACACCUCUCAUACAUUCAUUCAACAAACAUUUGUUGUACACAGAACUCGUGCCUACCUUCGUUGACUUUACCCUGCCUUCGUGUUCUCUGCACUUCUCUUACAUCCCCAGGUAUUUAAGUAUUUUCCAUAUCUGUGCCUUGGGUAUAUAUGCUUGACCUAUACCAUCAGGCUCUCUGAUGGCAAUAGACUGUCUAUUUUUACCUUGUAAAUCCUUAGCUACUUCCCUCCCAUGGGUAGUGUAAUUCUUGAGUUACAUAAAACAAAAUCAAGAGUACAAAUUCAGCUAACAUAGCAGAUGGAUUUCACUAAAAGAUCUUCUUGCCUUCUCCCAACUGGGGUUGGUGUUCCCCAAGACAGUAUGAAGAACAUAUGAACUCCAGAGCCACUGUUUGAAAAGGGAUGCUCAUAUUUGUUUAGGGUAAGGAUAGUGGAUCAGUCAAAGUUCAUUUUGAGAAAAAAAACUACCAUGAAUGAUGUAGAACAGAGAUUUAUGAUUGGGGUUAAACUUUAUACAAGUACGGAAGGUGCUGGAAAAGCAAGUGUACACAAUUUGCUUCUGUGGCGGUAUUGGCCAUGAGGUUGCCAUGGGCCUGGAACAGCAGUCAGGAAGGAGGACACAAUGUGAAGCCCGGGAAAGAAAGGACAAAUUAGAACCUGAGAUGAUAAACUGGAACCUAUGAGGACAAACUGGAAUGCACAUCUGUCUUUCAUUGCCAUCAGCGUCAGUGAUGAGGUGAUUUGCAUGGUAAAGCCAGGGCAAUUUACCACACAGGUGCAUGUACACGUGGUUAGGGGCUCUGGCUGGAGGAACUGUGUCCUUGGGUGGUCCGCAACGUGAGCAAGCAGGUCAACAUACACAUGAAAGACCUGCCAUGGUGCCUGGAGUUCCACACCCACGAAAAAGCAACUACAGUCCCCCCCACCCCCUUAUCUGCAAGAGAUACCUUCCAAGAUCUGCAGUGGAUGCCUGAAAUAACCCUAUGUAUACUAUGUUUUUUCCUGUACAUACAUUCCUAUGUUAAAGUUUUAUUUAUAAAUUAGGCACAGUGAGAGAUUAACAACAAUAUUAAAACAGAACAAUUAUAACAAU
Canis lupus familiaris (dog) is the source of this 4273-nucleotide long non-coding RNA. RefSeq lists it as uncharacterized. Lineage: Eukaryota; Metazoa; Chordata; Mammalia; Carnivora; Canidae. The transcript is spliced from 5 exons. The record is from RefSeq and is a predicted model, not a curated record.